UUUCUUUUUUCUCUUUUUCUUAUUAAUUUUAUUAUUUUUUUUCUUAAAUCAAUGAUAAAGUUAAAAUUAAAGGGUACUAAAGUGAAUAUUUGAUAAAUCUAGAUGGGUAUCUGAAGUUUUUUGUAUAUAAUUUAAUAAAAUAUUAAUGAAAAAUCUAUCGAAAAGAUAAAAACGAAACCACAGGGGGACAAUUUGAUACAUUUUAAACCACAAGAGGGCAAGUCAGAAACUACGAAACCACAAUAGGGUUUUUUGAAGUUUUCCCAAAAAGAAAAAGAAGAAAAGAAAACUCUUACUGGGAGGUGCGGGACCGCGCACGGCGACAGGUUGGUAGGGGGAGAGAGGGAAAAGUUGUUGUUUUAUAAUUAAGAGGGAAAAGAAGAGAGGAGGUCCAGAAGAAGCGGGAGAUUUAAUGACACAGCGGUGGUGAUGUGAUGGCCACAAAUGAGAGCCAAAAGAGAUCAGCGGAAAAAUAUGAUUUUACACUUUCUUAUUUUAAUUUCCUGAUAUUUAAAAUAUAUCAUUUUCAUANGGAGACCGCAAUCAUCCCGACCAUACAAUUUUUAAUCAAAGGGUCAAAAAUUCAAAAAGCCCUUUAAGUUACCAAGUAACAUCAUAUGUCUGCCGUUGCCUACCUUGCUAUUAAUUGUAUGCUUGAGAAAAUAUACAGAAUAUUUUUAAAGUAAAAAAUUAUUAUUCAUAUAAAAUUUUAAUUUUAGUUAUAUAUGAUUGGAUAGUUUAAUCCAAUAUUUAUCUAUAUAAUUUACUUAUUUUUGACUGCAUAAAUAAAAAUGAAUAAUAUAGAGAUUGAAGGCGGAAGAAAAGACAUGUGAUGUUGAAAAAAUUAGAUAUUCAACUCAUAAAUUAUUUUUUUUUCAUAUUAUAAUACUAUAUUUCAUAUAAUUAUUUUGUACUUUGAACUAUUAGACAUAUUUUUGUAUCAAAUUAUAGAUAAUGUUCUAUACAAAUUAAACUAUUGAUCGUAUAAAGUUGAGAAUUUCAAGCGGCUUGUUUAGGGCUCGAGCUCGCUCGACUUGAAAUUAGGCUCGCUCGAGCUCGGCUCGAAUUAAUUUCAAUCCAAGCUUGAGCUUAAAUUUAGGCCCGAAAUUAAUUUCAAGCUGAAUUUGAGCCGAGGUAAGCUC
This 1142-nucleotide long non-coding RNA is filed under the name Ananas comosus (pineapple). Its description in RNAcentral is "long non-coding RNA (ACOM_LNC023622)". The record is from RNAcentral. Lineage: Eukaryota; Viridiplantae; Streptophyta; Magnoliopsida; Poales; Bromeliaceae.